ACGGAGGGUGCGAGCGUUGUCCGGAAUCAUUGGGCGUAAAGGGCGCGUAGGUGGCUUCUUAAGCGUGCGGUGAAAGCCUGGGGCUCAACCCCGGGUCGGCCGUGCGAACUGGGGGGCUGGAGCACUGUAGAGGCAGGCGGAAUUCCGGGUGUAGCGGUGGAAUGCGUAGAGAUCCGGAAGAACACCGGUGGCGAAGGCAGCUCUCUGGGACGGUACUGACGCUGAGACGCGAAAGCGUGGGGAGCGAACAGGA
This 253-nucleotide ribosomal RNA is filed under the name uncultured prokaryote. RNAcentral describes it as "partial 16S ribosomal RNA". It matches the Rfam family "Bacterial small subunit ribosomal RNA", at positions 525 to 777 of the family's 1533-position model. The record is from RNAcentral.